ACAUGUACGUGUUACUGAUCUGAGAGGAGAGGGACCCAUGCUUCGGUAUGGGAGCGUACACAGGUGCUGCAUGGCUGUCGUCAGCUCGUGUCGUGAGAUGUUGGGUUAAGUCCCGCAACGAGCGCAACCCUGCAUCCAGUUGCCAUCGGGCGAGCCGGGCACUCUGGAGGGACUGCCGGCGACAAGCCGGAGGAAGGUGGAGAUGACGUCAAGUCAUCAUGGCCCUUAUGUCCAGGGCGACACACGUGCUACAAUGGCCGGCACAGCGGGAAGCGGAGGGGCGACCCUGAGCGGAUCCCUUGAAAGCCGGUCCCAGUUCGGAUUGCAGUCUGCAACUCGACUGCAUGAAGUUGGAAUCGCUAGUAAUCGCGGAUCAGCCAAGCCGCGGUGAAUACGUUCCCGGGCCUU
RNAcentral lists this ribosomal RNA (408 nucleotides) under uncultured Thermovirga sp. Its description in RNAcentral is "bacterial SSU rRNA". It matches the Rfam family "Bacterial small subunit ribosomal RNA", at positions 984 to 1382 of the family's 1533-position model. The record is from RNAcentral. Lineage: Bacteria; Thermotogati; Synergistota; Synergistia; Synergistales; Thermovirgaceae.